GGUUCCAUGGUGUAGUGGUUAGCACAUCUGCUUUCCACGCAGAAGAUCCUGGGUUCAAUCCCCAGUGGAACCA
Loxodonta africana (African savanna elephant) is the source of this 73-nucleotide transfer RNA. It matches the Rfam family "tRNA". Rfam says of the family: Transfer RNA (tRNA) molecules are approximately 80 nucleotides in length. The record is from Rfam. Lineage: Eukaryota; Metazoa; Chordata; Mammalia; Proboscidea; Elephantidae.